Molecule: ribosomal RNA, 447 nt
Filed under: uncultured bacterium
Lineage: Bacteria
Description: bacterial SSU rRNA
Rfam family: Bacterial small subunit ribosomal RNA
Source: RNAcentral
GCCCAGACUCCUACGGGAGGCAGCAGUGGGGAAUAUUGCACAAUGGGGAAAACCCUGAUGCAGCGACGCCGCGUGAGUGAAGAAGUAUUUCGGUAUGUAAAGCUCUAUCAGCAGGGAAGAAAAUGACGGUACCUGACUAAGAAGCCCCGGCUAACUACGUGCCAGCAGCCGCGGUAAUACGUAGGGGGCAAGCGUUAUCCGGAUUUACUGGGUGUAAAGGGAGCGUAGACGGCAUGGCAAGUCAGAUGUGAAAGCCCGGGGCUCAACCCCGGGACUGCAUUUGAAACUGUCAGGCUGGAGUGCAGGAGAGGUAAGUGGAAUUCCUAGUGUAGCGGUGAAAUGCGUAGAUAUUAGGAGGAACACCAGUGGCGAAGGCGGCUUACUGGACUGUAACUGACGUUGAGGCUCGAAAGCGUGGGGAGCAAACAGGAUUAGAUACCCCUGUAC